This 468-nucleotide ribosomal RNA is filed under the name uncultured bacterium. RNAcentral's name for it is "partial 16S ribosomal RNA". It matches the Rfam family "Bacterial small subunit ribosomal RNA", at positions 28 to 507 of the family's 1533-position model. The record is from RNAcentral.
GACGAACGCUGGCGGCGUGCUUAACACAUGCAAGUCGAACGGAAAGGCCCUGCAUUUGUGGGGUGCUCGAGUGGCGAACGGGUGGGUAACACGUGAGUAACCUGCCCUUGACUGUGGGAUAACUUCAGGAAAAUGGGGCUAAUACCGGAUAGGAGCUCCUGAUGAAUGGAGGGGGUGGGAAAGUUUCGGCGGUUGGGGGUGGACUCGCGGCUGAUCAGCGUGUUGGGGGGGGAGAGGUUCACACAGAGUUGGACGGGUAGCCGGCCUGGGAGCGUGACCGCGCACAUUGGGCCUGCGAGACGGCCCAGACUCCUACGUGGGGCAGCAGUGGGGAAUAUUGCACAAUGGGCGGAAGUCUGAGGCGGCAACGUCGCGUGCGGGAUGACGGCCUUCGGGUGGUAAACCGCUUUCGCCUGUGACGAAGCGUGAGUGACGUUAAUGGGUAAAGAAGCACCGGCUAACUACGUG